GCCCAUAACCAAUUCACCCCGAAUGUAGCCAACCUCAUUGUGUCUCAGAAAUUAAGCAGGUUUUGAGCCUGGAUGGUGCUUGGAUGGGUGACCACCUGAGCAUGCCAUGUGUUCCAGGCU
RNAcentral lists this ribosomal RNA (120 nucleotides) under Petromyzon marinus (sea lamprey). Lineage: Eukaryota; Metazoa; Chordata; Hyperoartia; Petromyzontiformes; Petromyzontidae. The record is from RNAcentral.